Molecule: microRNA precursor, 96 nt
Organism: Oreochromis niloticus (Nile tilapia)
Lineage: Eukaryota; Metazoa; Chordata; Actinopteri; Cichliformes; Cichlidae
Gene: mirlet7a-4
Product: microRNA let7a-4
Source: Ensembl
UCCAGUGUUCCGCAGGUUGAGGUAGUAGGUUGUAUAGUUCAGAGUGACACCACAGGAGAUAACUGUACAGCCUCCUAGCUUUCCCUGAGGAAACAC